GCUGCUCUUCGUCGGGGACGUUACCGUUUACUUGCCCGCGCCAACGGCCAGCUACUCGCCGGGAUUCGCCGGGGUCGCCGUCUUCUCCGUGCGCCACGCUGACAGGAAGCUGGUCGCCGAGUUCCCGGGGAUUCGCCGCGCACCCAGGUACUCCGCCGCCUCCCCAGUAGCUGUCCGAGCGGCGGACCGCGACGCGCGCGCGAGUGUCCAAUGGCUCCGGUGGUCCGAUGAGCGUGGCUGCCGGCCAUGGCCGUGGUCGUGUGCCACUGCCUCUCCCGCUGGAAGCACGGAGGCUCGCGGCCAAGAUCCGGGGAGAAGGAGCUCCGUGACGGCGAGCUCCUCUAGGAGCAAGGCGACCACAUACUCCAAGAGCACGACGACGACAAGCUUUGAGGCUCCUUCUGGCAACCUUAACGAGGAGGAGGGUGGCAGCUGGAUGAGGAUUAAAAUCACGCUGGAGUCACCGUGCUGUCCUCUGACUACACAGCCGACGCCCCAUGAUCUUCAGGACGGCGGCGGCGCGGCGGCUGGACCUCCCUACCAGCUUGCCUGGCCAAACUCCACAAGCUACAGCUCACGGUCACGGAUCCAAUCCAGGAAACGUCCUGCUAGCUAGUGCCAUGGUUCCCCCACGGAAUGAGCAGGGAGUUCUAGCGACGCAUUAUACAAGGAGCUAUGGCAUGCUUGGGCUAGGCCGUUGAUCACAGUGCCUCGCCAAGGUGAAAGGAUUUACUACUUUCCGCAUGUUUAUAUUGGAACAGGUUAAUAGGGACUCUGGUAGCUCACAGAUCGCGUGCAUAGUAGAUGCCCUCAACGACAACUCUGUUUGACAUCACAUCCUCGUGUAACAAACAAACGGAGACGGCACCGGCCAUGGCCAUGGCGACGGCGACGGGAACGGCGGCGAUCACGGUUGGGGAGAGCACCGGCGACGACGCAGCAACACAGCAAACGACGUCGGCGAAGCCACCGAUGCCGGAGACGGAGACGACACCGGUGAUGGAAGCAGCCACGGCAAGGGCAACCGCCACGAGAUGCGGCUAUGUAACGUCCCUUGGCCUGACCAGCGACGGCGACGGCAGCGACAUCGUCGACGAGGACAUCACCAACAACGACAAACAUAUGCAGCUAUCUUCCCUUGGCCUGGCCAGCUACUGCGACGGGGAUCGUGACGGCAUCGCCGAUGGGCGACAUCACCGGCGAUGACAACAGAUGCGGCUUCUUCAUCUCAUCAUCGACGCAUGGAUAUUCUUGUAUUGAUUUCCAUGCAUUCAUUGUAAUUGAUAUCUCACGAGCUAGUUCAAUGAAACAGUAUAAUCCAUCCAUGCAUGCCAUGGCGACCAAGAUGGAGGCAUGCGCAUUGCUAGCGUUUCCAUCAUCAACACACAUCGGCGCUCACACGCGUGGCAAUACACAGCCGCGGUUCUUGCUGAUGUGCAGAAUACACAUGCAUGCGUGCGUACCUGACAUGCAUGCCUAACAUAUUGUUUUAUUUUACAUGAUACCUAACAUGUUGUUGGUUGUGACUUGUAAAGCUCGGAGAAGCCAAAUCAUAUUGCUUUUGAUCAGUGGCAAAGUUAUAUGUAAUGGAAGUAUAUA
This is a long non-coding RNA of Triticum dicoccoides, 1599 nucleotides long. RefSeq lists it as uncharacterized. Lineage: Eukaryota; Viridiplantae; Streptophyta; Magnoliopsida; Poales; Poaceae. The record is from RefSeq and is a predicted model, not a curated record. The transcript has 3 exons.